AUGGUUCUUGUCCGCUACGACGUCACCUACCUCAUUGAGCACCCCCCUCCCCCCAACGCCGACACCCAGUACCUCGAACUCGACACGCAUAUCUUUCUCUGGAUGUAUUCCACCCUCGCGGACACUCUCGUUGAUCAUGUGAUCGGCGCCACCAACACCCACGCGCUCUGGACGCGGAUCCGCGACUACUUUCUCUCCAACCACGCCGCCCAUUACAUGAUGCUCAACAGGCAGUACCGCAACCUCAAACAGGGGGAUCUCUCGGUUGACGAGUACGCGCGCCGCAUGAAGCUGCUCACCGCCGGUCUCGCCGACAUUGACCACGCGGUCACCGAGGUCGACCUCACCAUCUAGUUCCUGCACGGCCUCGACCAACGCCUCGACAACAUUCGCGUCGUAUUGGGUGACACCGUCCCUUUGCCGCCGUUCGAGACGGUCUUCUCGCAAGUCAAACUCGCCGAGGAGAAUCUCGCCCAACGCGCCGCCAAGGCGGGCGCCAUGGUUCUCGCUGUCCAGGGGAGUGGUGCUCCCCCGGGCGGUUCCUCCAGGGCCAGCGGCGGCAGCGGUGGAGACCGGGGCGACAAGGCACGGCCGGCGAGCCCGUGGCGGCUGUGCACGGUGACGCAGGUGAAGGAGCUCAAGUGCGUGCUCCGUCUGCUGCCGGUGUGGGCGUGCGGCAUCAUCUUCGCGGCCGCCUACCCGCAGAUGAGCACGACCUUCAUCCUCCAGGGGGCACGUUGGACCCGCGCGUCGGCAGCUUCCGCGUCCCCGCCGCCGUGCUCACUGUGGGCCCAACCCUGUCUCCGAUGCAUGCAUGGCUAG
This 822-nucleotide ribosomal RNA is filed under the name Triticum aestivum (bread wheat). RNAcentral's name for it is "partial small subunit ribosomal RNA". Lineage: Eukaryota; Viridiplantae; Streptophyta; Magnoliopsida; Poales; Poaceae. The record is from RNAcentral.